RNAcentral lists this ribosomal RNA (606 nucleotides) under Klebsiella pneumoniae. RNAcentral describes it as "bacterial SSU rRNA". It matches the Rfam family "Bacterial small subunit ribosomal RNA", at positions 927 to 1533 of the family's 1533-position model. The record is from RNAcentral. Lineage: Bacteria; Pseudomonadati; Pseudomonadota; Gammaproteobacteria; Enterobacterales; Enterobacteriaceae.
AAGCGGUGGAGCAUGUGGUUUAAUUCGAUGCAACGCGAAGAACCUUACCUGGUCUUGACAUCCACAGAACUUUCCAGAGAUGGAUUGGUGCCUUCGGGAACUGUGAGACAGGUGCUGCAUGGCUGUCGUCAGCUCGUGUUGUGAAAUGUUGGGUUAAGUCCCGCAACGAGCGCAACCCUUAUCCUUUGUUGCCAGCGGUUCGGCCGGGAACUCAAAGGAGACUGCCAGUGAUAAACUGGAGGAAGGUGGGGAUGACGUCAAGUCAUCAUGGCCCUUACGACCAGGGCUACACACGUGCUACAAUGGCAUAUACAAAGAGAAGCGACCUCGCGAGAGCAAGCGGACCUCAUAAAGUAUGUCGUAGUCCGGAUUGGAGUCUGCAACUCGACUCCAUGAAGUCGGAAUCGCUAGUAAUCGUAGAUCAGAAUGCUACGGUGAAUACGUUCCCGGGCCUUGUACACACCGCCCGUCACACCAUGGGAGUGGGUUGCAAAAGAAGUAGGUAGCUUAACCUUCGGGAGGGCGCUUACCACUUUGUGAUUCAUGACUGGGGUGAAGUCGUAACAAGGUAACCGUAGGGGAACCUGCGGUUGGAUCACCUCCUUA